AAGACUAUACUUUCAGGGAUCAUUUCUAUAGUUCUUAACUAGGAAGAGUAUUGUGAAAGUGAUGAGUCUCCCAAAUCAUGAUGAAGAAUUUUGAUACCUUUUUUUUGAGCAUGAAUCAGGUGUAGAGUAAUGAUUUAGUUCAUAUGCUUUGUAUCAUUGAUGAAUGUUCGUUGCUGUUAAGUACAGUGAAGAGGAAGAGAGUAUGAGCUGAGUGGU
Ctenopharyngodon idella (grass carp) is the source of this 216-nucleotide small nucleolar RNA. RefSeq annotates it as small nucleolar RNA U3. The transcript has a single exon. The record is from RefSeq and is a predicted model, not a curated record. Lineage: Eukaryota; Metazoa; Chordata; Actinopteri; Cypriniformes; Xenocyprididae.